RNAcentral lists this transfer RNA (69 nucleotides) under Agabus rufulus. Its description in RNAcentral is "transfer RNA-Leu". Lineage: Eukaryota; Metazoa; Arthropoda; Insecta; Coleoptera; Dytiscidae. The record is from RNAcentral.
UAUUAAUUACUUUGGCAGAAUAGUGUAAUAAAUUUAGAAUUUAUAAAUGUAAUUUUUUUACAAGUAAUA